This is a non-coding RNA of Petromyzon marinus (sea lamprey), 1635 nucleotides long. NCBI's taxonomy places the organism in Eukaryota, Metazoa, Chordata, Hyperoartia, Petromyzontiformes, Petromyzontidae. The record is from RefSeq and is a predicted model, not a curated record.
GGAACCCACGACACCAGGCGAGGUAGUUAACAUCUCGCCACCAUUGCUCCAUGUCAUAGCUGCUAGUGGCUACUACGUUCACCACAACGCUGUAAGAAAAAAAACAGACACGAUUCUUGAAUCGAAUCAUUAAAUCGUGGUGAUUAAUUACACCGCUCGUUAUUACACGCAGCACAUGCAUACAUAAAUCUAUUCGGCAAAAGACAUGUGUUUUAAUGAUUCGUAAUGCACAACCUUUGUUAAGCGAGCCCUGGCCCUUGCACGCACACACGAGCUCACGGUCGCAUGUUUACAGAUGAGCUGUCAAGCGUAUAUGCGUGUUGUUCAUAAAAUGCUAAUGACGAUGACACGUCUUCGCGUGCGUAGCGCUCGCUUCUCCGCGCGCGAUUGUAAGCAUGUGCACAUGUAAAACCGUCACCCGCGGCCCAGAGAACAUUAUCAUUUCAUUCAUCAUGGCAUUAAUGAGAUGCCAUACGUGCCUAUAGUUAUAUGCAUCACUAUCAAUCAGCCUGGGAAGUGGACGAUCGCCGUGUAAUUGAAUGCAGUUGCGCGCACCCUUGGGUGAAACGCGCGCACACAUGCGCUCGCACGUUACCCCAUGCAAACCUGUCGGGGCUGAGCGUUGUAAAGUUUUUUUUUUGCGUUGAAGCCCCGUGGCCCUGUUUGCGUGGCGGGCUGUAUACUCCUUAUGUACGGCUGCUGAUGUGGAUGAAGGAGCAACGGCUACAAUUUCACAUUCAGGUGGUCAAACCCCGCCGACCACAUCAGGAGUAGUGUAUCGUCGCUCUGAUGUCUCCUUCGUAUUUGUAGAUCGGGCGUUGCGUCAUUAUAUGUUGUGUAGUCUGUUCUGGGCGGCACACAGUCGCACACUGGAGAGUUUUUAAUCUUCCAUUUGUGCAUCAGGUAUCCGCAUCUGCCAUGGUUUGUGUGGAUGGACCAUGAGGUUUGUGGAAGAUCAAACCCAGGAUUCUCCUGCGUCGGCUCUUUGCACAAGGUGUUUGUCAGUUAUUUUGAACUCCAUUCGGCUCUCCAGGCAGGCUGUACUGCCGCUAGGAGAAUAUAACUGCUGUAAUAACAAUCGCAAUGAUUCACUUGUACGUCCUCAGCCCUCGUGUCAACCCACUGCUGGGUGAGGGCCUACCUGCGCCACGGGGGUCACGUGGGCUGUGCUUGCACCGCGCCGCCUUCUCUGGAGGUCUCUGGACCAGCUGUCGGGCAGCUCAUCGUCGUCGUCACCGCGGUCACCGACGGUUACGUUCCUGCUCGGCCGACGCGUUCGACGGGUCGCUCCUCCAGAACGGAUCGCGCCGAGCGGCCUGCCGUGCCGAGCCACGGAAACCCGACGGCACGAAUUUCCCAGCGUUACGGCUCGCCAAGCUCGUGACGAUGCGGACAGCGUCUGGACGUCCAGCCGUUGCCAAAGACAACACGGAGAAAUGAAAAUUGCUCGGCUCGGAAACACCGAAAACACGCCCGCGUGAGAAACAGAAGAAGAAUACAUUUAUUAAAAAACAACCGAUGUUUGGAAAUCAAGUGGCUUGGUAGUCGCGAAAGCUUUAAGUCAAGAUUUAAGUGGGUUUUUUAAAUUUGUUUAUUAUUGAUCGUAAAUAACAAUCAGAAUAACAAAAAUAACAA